CCUACGGGUGGCAGCAGUGAGGAAUAUUGGUCAAUGGCCGAGAGGCUGAACCAGCCAAGUCGCGUGAGGGAAGACGGCCCUACGGGUUGUAAACCUCUUUUGUCGGGGAGCAAAGCGAACCACGUGUGGUUCAUUGAGAGUACCCGAAGAAAAAGCAUCGGCUAACUCCGUGCCAGCAGCCGCGGUAAUACGGAGGAUGCGAGCGGUAUCCGGAUUUAUGUGGGUUAAAGGGUGCGCAGGCGGAGGUGCAAGUCAGCGGUCAACUGGCGGGGCUCAACCCCGUACUGCCGUUGAAACUGCAUCCCUGGAGUGCGCGAGAAGUAUGCGGAAAGCGUGGUGUAGCGGUGAAAGGCAUAGAUAUCA
RNAcentral lists this ribosomal RNA (363 nucleotides) under uncultured bacterium. RNAcentral's name for it is "partial 16S ribosomal RNA". It matches the Rfam family "Bacterial small subunit ribosomal RNA", at positions 338 to 699 of the family's 1533-position model. The record is from RNAcentral.